RNAcentral lists this transfer RNA (73 nucleotides) under Bacillus cereus. RNAcentral describes it as "tRNA-Asp". It matches the Rfam family "tRNA". From Rfam's summary of the family: Transfer RNA (tRNA) molecules are approximately 80 nucleotides in length. Their secondary structure includes four short double-helical elements and three loops (D, anti-codon, and T loops). Further hydrogen bonds mediate the characteristic L-shaped molecular structure. tRNAs have two regions of fundamental functional importance: the anti-codon, which is responsible for specific mRNA codon recognition, and the 3' end, to which the tRNAs corresponding amino acid is attached (by aminoacyl-tRNA synthetases). tRNAs cope with the degeneracy of the genetic code in two manners: having more than one tRNA (with a specific anti-codon) for a particular amino acid; and 'wobble' base-pairing, i.e. permitting non-standard base-pairing at the 3rd anti-codon position. The record is from RNAcentral. Lineage: Bacteria; Bacillati; Bacillota; Bacilli; Caryophanales; Bacillaceae.
GGGAAUAUAGUGUAGCGGUAAACACGCCUGGCUGUCUACCAGGUAGCACGGGUUCAAAUCCCGUUAUUCUCGC